Long non-coding RNA from Amphibalanus amphitrite, 1447 nucleotides. RefSeq lists it as uncharacterized. The record is from RefSeq and is a predicted model, not a curated record. The transcript has 2 exons. Lineage: Eukaryota; Metazoa; Arthropoda; Thecostraca; Balanomorpha; Balanidae.
UUACGCCUGACAUGCACUGAAAGUUUUGGCGCAAUCAUGCCACUAUGCAGGACAUAUUCAGCAUAACGUGAAUUUUUCCAGUCUGGAGCCAAAUAGUAAUGUCAGCACUGAGAAAUUAGGAUGUUGUCAACAUAACCUUCAACAUAUUUGUCAAUUUUAGUUACAAUUUAUCACUAAUGGGUACCUAUUGUUAUCAUUUGGUAGGUACCUACAUUGCAUCCUAGCUUGUCAUCAUAGCAAACAUGCAGAUAUCUAAAGAAAUGUUUGUUGGUCCUUCUAAGCUGUUGAAAUUUCUCCACAGUCAACACUUAUGCAGUAUGCUGGGAGCACAAAACGAAGGCAUCCGUGGAAGGAACAGCAAUGCUGGGAGCAGGCUGUUCGCAGAAAGUGAUCAAGCGCGCAAGCCACCAGCCAGCUGACGCAGAGCCCAGAGGGCGUUCGCCACCAACAUCCGCACGGCGCAGCUGCAGAGAUGAUUUCUGCCAUGGAGCAGCAUCCGCGGCUCCAUAACAUCAUCCUUCCAUCAUUCUCCAUCAUCAUUCCCGGAGCUCACCCGGCGGCGCCCGCGCCCCGCCUGGCCGUCCAGCUUGCGCGCUCCGCCGCGCGCCGCGGGCCCGGCUCGCCGGAACGUCCGGCUUAGUUCGGCGUUUGAGGCGCGGCGGGGGGCACCGUCUCUGUGCCCUGCUCCGGGUCCCCGCCGCCUGCGGUCUCUUCUGCUGCCGCCACUGAGGGGAGCGGCUCUUCUUUGAAGACGGCAUCGGUCGACGGUGAUGCUGGCGGGCCGGUGGCGGCGUGCCCCGUCGGCAGCGCGCCUCGGGAGGACGCUGGUGACGACGAAUCUUCAUCGCCGUCGGCACCGGUCGCGAGCGAGUCGCUGUUUAGUUGGCCUGCUACAGACUUUGCUGUGCCAAAAAGUGCGACUGUGGCCAGACUGGUAUACGAUUUGUCAGUGCUUACGCCCCUCUUGCCGUGCCGGCCGUGCUCUUUGCCGUCUAUUGAGGAUGCGUUAGAGUUAUCGUUUUGGGGUUUUAUACCGGUAUCAAGAUUGAUUUAAAAGAUGGAUUUCAUCACAUUCCUCGCGCACGUUCCACACGUCCUUUUGGUGUUUUGUAUGAUGGUAAAACGUGCUUAUACCUUUUCUCUGUUACCAAUGGGCCCUAUUAGGUACUGCAUCUCCUGCAUUAUUAGGUAGAGAUGCAGUACCAUUAUUAGGUACUGCAUUAUUAGGUACUGAAGGAGAUGCAGUUAGGUACUGCAUCUCCUUCGGAGAUGCAGUACCUAACAGAUGCUUUCAAGCCUUUCAGUGAACUUGUAGAGAUUUAACGUCAGGUGUUUGGCGUAUUUAGAUGAUUUUCUUUUUAUGUCCAAGGACGCUGAAUGGUAUCGCUGCGUUUCUGACUAGUGUUGGGUUGUGUAUUAAUUUCAAUAAAUUAGUUCUCGUUCCGUC